This 600-nucleotide ribosomal RNA is filed under the name Oceanobacillus manasiensis. RNAcentral's name for it is "bacterial SSU rRNA". It matches the Rfam family "Bacterial small subunit ribosomal RNA", at positions 40 to 606 of the family's 1533-position model. Lineage: Bacteria; Bacillati; Bacillota; Bacilli; Caryophanales; Bacillaceae. The record is from RNAcentral.
CAUACGCGAGCUAUACAUGCAAGUCGAGCGCAGGAAGCAAGCAGAUCCCCUUCGGGGGUGACGCUUGUGGAAUGAGCGGCGGACGGGUGAGUAACACGUGGGCAACCUGCCUGUAAGACUGGGAUAACCCCGGGAAACCGGGGCUAAUACCGGAUAAUACUUUUCUUUGCAUAAAGGAAAGUUGAAAGGCGGUUUCGGCUGCCACUUACAGAUGGGCCCGCGGCGCAUUAGCUAGUUGGUGAGGUAACGGCUCACCAAGGCGACGAUGCGUAGCCGACCUGAGAGGGUGAUCGGCCACACUGGGACUGAGACACGGCCCAGACUCCUACGGGAGGCAGCAGUAGGGAAUCUUCCGCAAUGGACGAAAGUCUGACGGAGCAACGCCGCGUGAGUGAUGAAGGUUUUCGGAUCGUAAAACUCUGUUGUUAGGGAAGAACAAGUCGGGUAGUAACUGACCCGGCCUUGACGGUACCUAACCAGAAAGCCCCGGCUAACUACGUGCCAGCAGCCGCGGUAAUACGUAGGGGGCAAGCGUUGUCCGGAAUUAUUGGGCGUAAAGCGCUCGCAGGCGGUCCUUUAAGUCUGAUGUGAAAUCUCGCG